UCACGCCCUGGCGCGCCCAGGGAGGGCAGCACCUCUGCGCGGCGGGCGGUUUUCUCUGGGGUCCAGUUACGCUUUUCUGUCUCUUUUGCUUUUUAGCAACAUCUGCACACAAAACACGGAAUUUUACUGCGUAAAAGUCCCAGGCUCCAAGAAUUCCAAUUACCUUGUAAGGAAAAAGACACCUAAGAAAAGUUUGCAAAGAGUAUGUUACCAUUUGGCUUCAUUUCUAUGGAGACCAAAGCUGUUCAAGUCAUCAUAUGGCAGAGGAAAUCAAUCAACAAAUAAAACAGCGAGUCACCCGUACGUACCGUGCUCUGGGCUGGCCCUGCCCGCAGCUCCGGACCUCUGAAGAGUUGGGCUUUGCGAAACGGAGUGGCGGAGGCCACACAGCGAAUCUCCCUGACUGUCCCUUUCAAUGGUGCUCUCUGUCAGCCUCUGCAGUCCUCGGAUGCUGCUGACGGUCCGUGUGGGCGGCUGUUAGAGGGGAGUCCCCACCUCCCCUCCCGGGGCCGCUGUGGCAGGGAACUCAGAUGGGUGGGGCACGACAGGCUGCCCUUCCUUGCCCAGAAGAGGACUUGGGCUGGGCAUGUAGAAACACGCACGCGCACACACCCACACACACGCCGCAGAGGGACACAGCGGCCGACCGACGCCUGUCCCACUCCCACGGAGUGCAGCGGGAAAGCCGACUCCUAGGGCAGAUGGAGGAGGCUUUGUCAGAGGGAGCCGCCCAGGUGUACCGCCGUCUCCUCCGCUGAACACCAGAAACAGCUACCGAAGCACGGCUUUAAAACCGACAGCUGGGGAACAUCUGGGCAGCUGGGCGAAGGGACGCCCGUGUGCUGUGGCCUCAGUGCCCCUGAGCACGCGCUACAGACUUGACCCCCGGCUUCACAGCCAGACGCCGAUGCCAAGGCCUCGGGCUUCCCAGCCCACAGAACCCUGAGCCAAAUAUGUAAACCUGUUUCUCACAAACAUCCAGUCUCUGAGAUUCUGAGACAGCAACAGAAAACAGUCUAAAGUAUCAGAUUACAUUUGCAACUUCCUGUGAGCUGAUAAUUAUCUCAAAAUAAAAAGUCAAUAUAUGCAUAACUCUGAGAUCAAAUGAAACGCUUCCUAGGGAAAGGGAAUUGUUUAAAAAACAAGUGGUUCAAAGGAGAAAGGAAAGAAGGGGAAGAAAAAAGUAUGAGAAAAGAAGGAAAAAGAUGGAAACAAAGCUUUUUUUUUUUUCUGGUACCAGGGAUCGAACUCAGGACCUUGAGUUUGCAAGGCAGGUGCAGCACCACUGAGCUACAUCCCCGGCCCAGAAACAAAGCUUUUGUAAAUAGGGCGGGGUGAAAGGGAAGGCAGGGAAUGGGAAAAAACAAGAACUAAGACAUAGCACGUACAGGUACAAAUUCCCGGUGAUGAAUGUGAUCGUAAUGUAUACCUAGAAUGUAC
This 1440-nucleotide long non-coding RNA is filed under the name Heterocephalus glaber (naked mole-rat). Its description in RNAcentral is "lncRNA (ENSHGLG00000039545.1)". Lineage: Eukaryota; Metazoa; Chordata; Mammalia; Rodentia; Bathyergidae. The record is from RNAcentral.